Molecule: ribosomal RNA, 305 nt
Filed under: uncultured bacterium
Lineage: Bacteria
Description: partial 16S ribosomal RNA
Rfam family: Bacterial small subunit ribosomal RNA
Source: RNAcentral
ACAGCAGCAGCCGCGGUAAUACGAAGGGGGCUAGCGUUGUUCGGAUUUACUGGGCGUAAAGGGCGCGUAGGCGGACUGAUAAGUCAGGGGUGAAAUCCCAAGGCUCAACCUUGGAACUGCCUUUGAUACUGUUUGUCUUGAGUUCGAGAGAGGUAAGUGGAACUGCGAGUGUAGAGGUGAAAUUCGUAGAUAUUCGCAAGAACACCAGUGGCGAAGGCGGCUUACUGGCUCGAAACUGACGCUGAGGCGCGAAAGCGUGGGGAGCAAACAGGAUUAGAUACCCCGGUAGUCCCUGUCUCUUAUAC